This 1048-nucleotide long non-coding RNA is filed under the name Sus scrofa (pig). Its description in RNAcentral is "lncRNA (ENSSSCG00015044543.1)". Lineage: Eukaryota; Metazoa; Chordata; Mammalia; Artiodactyla; Suidae. The record is from RNAcentral.
AUGCAGCCUCAAAAGAAUGACAAGAAUAAGAAGCAGGAAGACUUCCGGCCUUCCUGCUUCUUACUGCUACAUUUCUUCUUAAACAGGGGUAUCAUUUUGAAAGAAAGCACCCUCUUGCAAGAUGAGGACAAUUUUCAACUCCAGGUUUUGGUCUCCUAUCAAGAAAAGGAUAUGGGGGUUUUAAUGAGACUGAUGAAACUACUCAGGAAGAUAAGAAAUCCCAACAAGUUUGAACACAGCUUGAUACACCUAUCGUCAACCUUAUUUGGUUCCUAAAUUCUGUUUUUCUUCAUUUGGAUCUCUACCUUUUCAUCUGUCAUUGCUGCACAGACUUUAAAUUCAGUGUCAAAUCUCAAAUACAUUGCUGAUAAAAAAAAAAAUCUUUAGUUAUAUACAUAGGUUUCUAACCUUAGUCAUGAUUUGUUUUCCCUUUUGUACAUGAUAGUAUUGAAAGGAGUGACUCAGACAUAGGUUUAUACAAAGGACUUAGAAAUUCAGAAAAUUUCCCAAGGCUACUAAACCUGCUUAAACCCCCCAAGAAUUCCCUCUUACAUAUAACCUCCAUCUUCCUUUAAAUUUAACGAACAUAGUUUAAAUAUUCUUUGCAAGGCCCUUCUCUCACUUUUAGCCAUUCUAUUGGAACAACUUUUUUUUCCUUACACUUUUUCAAAAUUCUAAGUCACAGAAAAAUUUGUGGCUUGCCUAUUUGAAAAUUCUACCGAAUUUAUCAAGAUUAGAGCUAAAAUCAAUCCAAAGGCAAAACAAAAACAGCCAAAUGUAGAAAAUUAUCAAACUAUUUUUUUUCUUUUUUCUUUUUGAAGUCAGUCAUUCUAGUUAUCUUUGAAACUCUACACCAUGAUAUCUGUAACCAGUUCACUAGGAGCCUUGAUUGCUCAUCUUCCUUUUCAAAAACCAAGAAAUUCCAUUAUUUUCAGGGACUCCAACAUUCUUCUGAUGUUUUCAAAAUGGAAAAUCAUCCCAUCUUUUAAAAUAAUAUUAUAACUAUAUCACGGGAUACUUUAAAAUAUACAUAUAAACAUAUUAUAAG